Long non-coding RNA from Hemicordylus capensis (graceful crag lizard), 2112 nucleotides. RefSeq lists it as uncharacterized. The transcript has 2 exons. NCBI's taxonomy places the organism in Eukaryota, Metazoa, Chordata, Lepidosauria, Squamata, Cordylidae. The record is from RefSeq and is a predicted model, not a curated record.
GGCUGCCUGCGUGUGUGAGCAUGCUCAGAUGCACCCUGGGAAGGGUUCGUUAAAUUCGUUGGGAUCGUUGACAAGCAGGGGAAACUGUCGCUACACUUGUAGCGGCUGCUGGUGCUGCUGGUGGGACUCCUAGGUAUGGACCACCAGGCAGCUGAACCUGUGCCUGCUUCCACUGGGAAGUAAGGCCCAUGGAGUUAAAUGAGGCUCACUAUCAAAGUGGAAAGGAUAUUUAGAUGCCCUGACGUGUCGACACCUACAAAGAUUAGCAUCACUUGGACCAUGGUUUCCCUGUGACACUCUAUGGAUGUGAAAGCUGGACUUGGAAGAAGCAGGACAGAAAAAGUAUUGAUGCUUUUGAACUUUGGUGCUGGAGAAGACAUUUGAGGAGACCAUGGACAGCCAAUGGUCAAUAUCAGUGCGCGCGCGCACACACACACACACACACACACACAGGAAAACAAAAUCUAAAAAUUUCCAUGUUCAGAAAGGUUUUUUGCACGCUGAAAAGCGUUACUGUACGGUAACAAUAUCCUUCAGUUUUCUCAGGCUUCAGGCUUUUAAUUACAAUUCAUUUUAAACUGUCUUAACUGUUUCCUCACCCACCCACCCCAAGUCCUGCAAUGCGAUGAUUUUAAUCGUUCGGACCAUGGUUUCCCCCAUGAUGCUCUGUGGAGGCGAAAGCUGGACUUUGAAGAAGCAGGACAGAAAAAGUAUUGACACUUUUGAAAUUGGGUGCUGGAGAAGACUUGGACAGCCAGGAAGACCAUGGACAGCCAGGAAGACAAACAAAUGGAUGAUAGAACAAGUCAAUCAAGAAUUUUCAGUCGAGGCACAAAUGACCAGGCUCAAACUAUCAUACUCUGGACACAUUAUGCGAAGACCCAACUCCCUCGAGAAGUCUAUAAUGCUGGAAAAGUUGAAAGAAAGAGAAGAAGAGGAUGACCAGCAACAAGGUGGAUGGACUCGAUUAUGACAGCAAUGAAUGCACCACUGAGAGACCUUCAAGGCCAAGGUGAAGGCAGAUCAUCCUGGAGAGAAUCUCUCUAUGUGGUUGCUAAGAGUUGACACUGACUUGACGGCACUUAAUCAAUCAAUCAAAUUGUGCCUAGGAGGUUUGCAACCAGGGGUGCAUCCAGGAUGAAAUUACAGGGGGUGCAACAGGAAAACACCCCCAUGUAUAUAUUUGGAUUUUCUCUCUCUUGCAAAUGCACUAUGCCAGGGGUUUCAAGCUCCAAUCUGGUGGUGAGUCUUAUGCCACCUUCUGUCACCUCACACCACUUUCUGUCUUCCCCUUCCCCCACUUCUCUCAUACCCUUUCUCCCCUGCCCUUUGCCCUGCCAUUUAAAUUAGCUGCAUGUGCAUGCAGUACGUUUUACACCAAAAAAAACACUCAGGGGAAGAUCAGAUUUCUUAAACAUUAUUUUUAGGAGAAAUUCUGAACAACGUAUCUGCAGAUACCAGAGUUUGCAUGGACAAUCCUGCCACUCUCCCCAAUUCCUCUCUCCCUUGCAGAGGUGUUGCUAGGUUUGUUUAUUUAUUUAUUUAUUUAUUUAUUUAUUUAUUUAACGUAUUUUUAUACCACCCAAAACUUACGUCUCUUAUUUAAAAGAUCCAGGGCUUGGGCCCAAAGGGCCUGUCUGAGGCCAAAAACCUCCCCACAUUUUGAUAAUUAAACCCUUUCAUGCUCUCGAAAGGUAUCCAAUACUCUCUUCCCCACUAGUUUACUUUAUCACUAAUUAUGAAUCUCCUUUUUCUCCUGCACCAGGUUUCUCCUGCAAUCAGUACCCUCACAGUUUCAAACCAGUGUGGUGUAGUGAUAGUGUUAUGCCUAGGCUUGGGGGACUGCAUUCCCCAAUCAGUCAUGAAGCCUGCUGCAGGACUUUAGGUGAGACACUCUCUCUCUCUUCCAAACCAGGCUCACAGGAUUGUUGUGAGGAUAAAAGUGGGGAGGAACAACAUGUACACUACCCUGAACUCUUUGGAGGAAGAACAGGAUAUGUGUCAUCAUAAAAUAGAUGUGUCUAUAGCAUAUACGUAUUGAUGUUCUUCUUUGGCCCACAUGCACUGCAAUCCUCAACACAUGAACUCAGAAGUAAAUUCAAAUAGUCUGUG